UCAUCUGUUGCCAGCAUUUAAGGUGGGGACGUCAGAUGAGACUGCCGGUGACAAACCGAGGAAGGUGGGGACGACGUCAAGUCAUCAUGGCCCUUAUGUCCUGGGCUACACACGUGCUACAAUGGCCGGUACAGAGUGAAGCGAAACCGCGAGGUGAAGCAAAACGCAGAAAGCCGGUCUCAGUACGGAUUGGAGUCUGAAACUCGACUUCAUGAAGUUGGAAUCGCUAGUAAUCGCGCAUCAGCAUGGCGCGGUGAAUACGUUCCCGGGCCUU
Molecule: ribosomal RNA, 274 nt
Filed under: uncultured Spirochaeta sp.
Lineage: Bacteria; Pseudomonadati; Spirochaetota; Spirochaetia; Spirochaetales; Spirochaetaceae
Description: partial 16S ribosomal RNA
Rfam family: Bacterial small subunit ribosomal RNA
Source: RNAcentral